This 468-nucleotide ribosomal RNA is filed under the name uncultured bacterium. Its description in RNAcentral is "partial 16S ribosomal RNA". It matches the Rfam family "Bacterial small subunit ribosomal RNA", at positions 28 to 507 of the family's 1533-position model. The record is from RNAcentral.
GACGAACGCUGGCGGCGUGCUUAACACAUGCAAGUCGAACGGAAAGGCCCUGCUUUUGUGGGGUGCUCGAGUGGCGAACGAGUGAGUAACACGUGAGUAACCUGCCCUUGACUUUGGGAUAACUUCAGGAAACUGGGGCUAAUAUCCGAUAGGAGCUCCUGCGGCAUGGUGGGGGUUGGAAAGUUUUGGCGGUUGGGGAUGGACUCGCGGCUUAUCAGCUUGUUGGUGGGGUAGUGGCUUACCAAGGCUUUGACGGGUAGCCGGCCUGAGAGGGUGAACGGCCACAUUGGGACUGAGAUACGGCGCAGACUCCUACGGGAGGCAGCCGUGGGGAAUAUUGCACAAUGGGAGGAAGCCUGAUGCAGCAACGUCGCGUGCGGGAUGACGGCCUUCGGGUUGUAAACAGAUUUCGCCUGUGACGAAGCGUGAGUGACGGUAAUGGGUAAAGAAGCACCGGCUAACUACGUG